Long non-coding RNA from Magnolia sinica, 852 nucleotides. RefSeq lists it as uncharacterized. The record is from RefSeq and is a predicted model, not a curated record. The transcript has 5 exons. NCBI's taxonomy places the organism in Eukaryota, Viridiplantae, Streptophyta, Magnoliopsida, Magnoliales, Magnoliaceae.
AGCCAUGAAUGUAUGAGAAGAUGGUUAGAAAGGAAGGUAACAAACCCUCUAUAUGUAACAAACAUGUGUCACGGGCCAGGUCAUGCUAACAGUCCUCGUACCUGAAGAGCCAGGAUCAUGCACAUGUGCCACAUUAGCACAUAUGCAGCAAAUCACCUCAUUAGUAUUACCAUGUUAUUUUUCCGGCACUUCAUAUUGAUGUCUUCUGAUAUUUUUGAAUCAGGGGAAUGCGAAAGCUUCGAAUAACUUACUGGCCAUUGCAGUUGGAAUAAAACAAAAAGAAAAUGUGAACUAGAUUGUUGAAAAGGGAAGUGGAUCCGUUGAUUCAGAUGUGACAUCUCCAAAGCAAAUCAAUCAAAAAUUGCUAUUGAAACAACUAGCAAUAGACCUAUGUACCAGUGAGCGGAGGAUCCUAUUUCGCACCCAAUAUGUGUUGUCAACCCCAAGUUGUUUCUAGCAGCAAUGAGUAAAUCGACCGUAUUAUCAUACCAGAUUUGCAGCUUCGCCCCAAUUUCUGUGAUGCGUGGUCAAAUUUAGCUAGUGCAUAUAUGAGGAAAGGAAGACUUAAUGAGGCAGCCCAGUGUUGUCGCCAGGCUCUUGCAUUGAACCCUCGCUUGGUUGAUGCUCAUAGCAACCUUGGUAAUCUGAUGAAGGCACAACGCUUAGUACAAGAAGUUAGUCACAAUGGAUUUGAUACAUUAUUUUCAUUGGAUGUUGUUUAAGACUCAAAGUAGAAUUUGAUAACCAUGAUCCAUCACUGGACUGCACUGGGUUGAGCAGUUGUUCUAGUAAUGGUGUAUCUUAAUUGUUCUAAUAAGCUGUUUUGAAACUAUUUCAUGAUUUCCUUUGAUU